GUGGGAGCACGCUUAGGCGUGUGACUGCGUACCUUUUGUAUAAUGGGUCAGCGACUUAUAUUCUGUAGCAAGGUUAACCGAAUAGGGGAGCCGAAGGGAAACCGAGUCUUAACUGGGCGUUAAGUUGCAGGGUAUAGACCCGAAACCCGGUGAUCUAGCCAUGGGCAGGUUGAAGGUUGGGUAACACUAACUGGAGGACCGAACCGACUAAUGUUGAAAAAUUAGCGGAUGACUUGUGGCUGGGGGUGAAAGGCCAAUCAAACCGGGAGAUAGCUGGUUCUCCCCGAAAGCUAUUUAGGUAGCGCCUCGUGAAUUCAUCUCCGGGGGUAGAGCACUGUUUCGGCAAGGGGGUCAUCCCGACUUACCAACCCGAUGCAAACUGCGAAUACCGGAGAAUGUUAUCACGGGAGACACACGGCGGGUGCUAACGUCCGUCGUGAAGAGGGAAACAACCCAGACCGCCAGCUAAGGUCCCAAAGUCAUGGUUAAGUGGGAAACGAUGUGGGAAGGCCCAGACAGCCAGGAUGUUGGCUUAGAAGCAGCCAUCAUUUAAAGAAAGCGUAAUAGCUCACUGGUCGAGUCGGCCUGCGCGGAAGAUGUAACGGGGCUAAACCAUGCACCGAAGCUGCGGCAGCGACGCUGAUGCGUUGUUGGGUAGGGGAGCGUUCUGUAAGCCUGCGAAGGUGUGCUGUGAGGCAUGCUGGAGGUAUCAGAAGUGCGAAUGCUGACAUAAGUAACGAUAAAGCGGGUGAAAAGCCCGCUCGCCGGAAGACCAAGGGUUCCUGUCCAACGUUAAUCGGGGCAGGGUGAGUCGACCCCUAAGGCGAGGCCGAAAGGCGUAGUCGAUGGGAAACAGGUUAAUAUUCCUGUACUUGGUGUUACUGCGAAGGGGGGACGGAGAAGGCUAUGUUGGCCGGGCGACGGUUGUCCCGGUUUAAGCGUGUAGGCUGGUUUUCCAGGCAAAUCCGGAAAAUCAAGGCUGAGGCGUGAUGACGAGGCACUACGGUGCUGAAGCAACAAAUGCCCUGCUUCCAGGAAAAGCCUCUAAGCAUCAGGUAACAUCAAAUCGUACCCCAAACCGACACAGGUGGUCAGGUAGAGAAUACCAAGGCGCUUGAGAGAACUCGGGUGAAGGAACUAGGCAAAAUGGUGCCGUAACUUCGGGAGAAGGCACGCUGAUAUGUAGG
RNAcentral lists this ribosomal RNA (1187 nucleotides) under Escherichia coli. RNAcentral describes it as "partial 23S ribosomal RNA". It matches the Rfam family "Bacterial large subunit ribosomal RNA", at positions 573 to 1762 of the family's 2925-position model. Lineage: Bacteria; Pseudomonadati; Pseudomonadota; Gammaproteobacteria; Enterobacterales; Enterobacteriaceae. The record is from RNAcentral.